Molecule: transfer RNA, 87 nt
Filed under: Pseudobdellovibrionaceae bacterium
Lineage: Bacteria; Pseudomonadati; Bdellovibrionota; Bdellovibrionia; Bdellovibrionales; Pseudobdellovibrionaceae
Description: Bdellovibrionaceae bacterium (activated sludge metagenome) tRNA-Leu
Rfam family: tRNA
About the family: Transfer RNA (tRNA) molecules are approximately 80 nucleotides in length.
Source: RNAcentral
GGCUCUGUGGUGGAAUUGGUAGACGCGCUGGACUCAAAAUCCAGUGUCCGCAAGGACGUGACGGUUCGAUUCCGUCCGGAGCCACCA